RNAcentral lists this ribosomal RNA (496 nucleotides) under uncultured bacterium. Its description in RNAcentral is "partial 16S ribosomal RNA". It matches the Rfam family "Bacterial small subunit ribosomal RNA", at positions 28 to 507 of the family's 1533-position model. The record is from RNAcentral.
GACGAACGCUGGCGGCGUGCCUAAUACAUGCAAGUAGAACGCUGAAGAGAGGAGCUUACUCUUCUGGGAUGAGUUGCGGACGGGUGAGUAACGCGUAGGUAACCUGCCUAUAGCGGGGGGAAACUAUUGGAAAAGAUAGCUAAUACCGCAUAACAAUGGUUGACACAUUUCUUUUAAUGUAAAAGGGCAAUUGCUCCACUACAAGAUGUACCUGCGUUGUAUUAGCUAGUAGGGGAGGUAAUGGCGCAACUAGGCGACGAUACAUAGCCGACCUGAGAGGGGGAUCGGCCAACCUGGGAAUGAGACACGGCCCAGACUCCUACCGGAGGCAGCAGUAGGGAAUCUUCGGCAAUGGGGGCAACGCUGACCGAGCAAAGCCGCGUGAGGGAAGAAGGUUUUCGGAUCGUAAAGCUCUGUUGUAAGUCAAGAACGGGUGUGAGAGGGGAAAGUUCACACUGUGACGGUAGCUUACCAGAAAGGGACGGCUAACUACGUG